GAAAAUCCUUCAACUUUAUUUGCAGGUAUGGACUCCUUGUUGCCUGGUACCAUGUUGUUGUGCAAAGUAAGCAACAGUUCAGGAAAGCACGCGUGUAAAUAAGCAGAUAACACUGCCAACUGCAGAGCAUAGUGAUGGCACGUUGAAAACCCAGUUCUUCUAUAGAAGCCAUCCAACUCCUGGAGCAAUCUACGUAAUUCCUUGCAGGUUUCCUUGCCACCUUCAUCUUUGGCCCAUCUGUUCAACGGUGCUAUGAACUCUUGUGACAUGUGAAACAGUAUAGAUACCAUUUUGGCAAGUCACUGCGUCUAUUUAAGGAAGGCUGUGAGGGGGUGUAGUUCUGUGUACCUUGCUUCUGUUGAUGGAGAGAGCAAGGAAGGCGUGAUCAGAAAUGAAUUGUGGCGGGGGCUGGACUGGUGGCUUUCCAUCAGGUCUUCACUGUCAUUGUUGCUGCCUACAGCAAUAUAUUUAUAGACCAGUUAUAUAUUACAGUUAUGUCGGAUACUGUUCUGGGUCCCUUCUAAAGGAAGAGUGGGAGAGUGAAAAAUGUAAUAAGAUUUCUUGCAAAAUUGCUAAAUGUGUGUGAAGGCAUGUGAGAGAAGUGAACUUAAUGGGAAGUCCAUAGCAGGGAAGGACUUUUGUACUCCUCAGGUAAGUCAUUGCUCUCUACCCUUUGAUUUGGGACAGUCAUAGUAGUCUGCUUACUCUACUUCUGUGACAGAAUGUAAUGGUAACUCCAUGUUGAACACCAAUAUCAAAACUUCACUGCACAUAUUGUUUUGUAAAUAUUGUGUUUUAGUACAUCAUACCAAUGAAGGAAGCUUUCCUGAGUUGGUUUCUCGUAUUUUUGUAUGAAUCUAUCAUUUCACCUUCAGUUAAUUUCCAUUUCUCAUCUUUAAUCUAGAUAGAGACAUAAUUGCUAUCUUCACUUCUUGAGACCGAUUUUUUUGAAGAAUACUCCUAUUUGCAUUUGUUUGUAAAAUCCCUCCUAUUUUAGCAGGAGGAGGUGUAUUCUGUGACUGUCUUCAGUGUAGAAAUCACUCUAUUUCAGUGCACAUGUGCCUUGUGUCUAAUGAGAUCUCUAUAACAUAAUGUAACAAUUGGGAGAUGGAUGCAAAAUCUGCAAUAGUUAUGCUAACCUUUCUCACCCUGACCUCCACCAGCUUAGAUCAAGAAGCAGCCUUGUCUGUUUCCAGUCCUGUUACCCCCCCCCCAGAGUUAAUUUGUUUUAAAUUGUAUAGCAACAGCAUCUACUGUUUAAACAAAAAUCCCUUAGCCCAUGUCUUUAUCACUUUUUUCUUCCACUCUUGAAGCUAUUUGCAAUUAAACCUCAGUAAAAUAUGAAGCAUCAGAAAUGUUAAACUAUCUUGGCAAUAAAGAGGCAUGAAACAGAUGAAUAAUGAGAAGCAAAAGAUAAGCAGUAAUGUCACUUUCAUUCUGGAGUGCCUGUUCUGGAAUAGAGUUCAUGUCACCUCUUAUUAUUUCAUAUCCUAUUUAUGACUCACAGGAAUGAUUAAGAAAAAAUCCUGCUAAAGAACAGUCCUUAGAUAUCUGCUUAAAUUAUGGAAAUAAGAAACUUCAAGGCCUCUUUUUGCUGAAGAUUAAGAAGUAUCUAUUUGAGAUUUCCAGUGCACUUUACUUAGAGGCUUGUGGGGAUGAAAGAGGGAGAGGGGCAGACUCGUGUAUUUUUCUUGGAUGUGCCAAUUUUGAGCAGUGUGUGAAUACAACUGUAACAACAUCACAAGUGGUUUCCUUUUAAUUUCUUCCUAGAUGCUGGUUUGAUACAGUUCUGUAUUCAUGUGUACUGGAAGUUUGUAAUAAAUAUAACAACAAAGCUCAGCAAACAAUGAGCAGGCAAUCACAUA
This is a non-coding RNA of Meleagris gallopavo (turkey), 1865 nucleotides long. The record is from RefSeq and is a predicted model, not a curated record. NCBI's taxonomy places the organism in Eukaryota, Metazoa, Chordata, Aves, Galliformes, Phasianidae.